UAAAUUAACAAUAAAAUAAUUGCAAUUAUCAUAAUUUGAAUAUAGUUAGCACCGUAAAUAAAUGUAAUUUAUAAUAACUAUAUUUAAAUUAUGGUAACUGCAAUCAACUUUGUAAAUUUAGCAUACUGUACGUUAAGUCUUACUAAUAUUAUAGCUGUAAUAACUAUAAAAAUGGAACUCCUAACUAUAAUUACCCUAAUUCAAUUGUAGUCACAAAUAUCGAACGAUGUACUGCACUAACAAAAAUAUAAUUAUGUAAUUAUCAUAAUUUAAAUAUAGAUGGCACUAAAAAUGAUUAUAAAUUAGUAAUUUUUAUACUUAUUGUAUUUAAAUUAUUUUAAUAAUUAUUUUCUUAUCAAUAUAAUAUAUUGGGUGUUAUCAUUACUAACAUUAUACAUAAGCAAUAAUUAAAGUAUAAAAAUAAAACUUCUAAAAUUAUAAUUAUCGUAACAUUCAAUUAUAGUUACAAACAAAUAUGCAAUGUGUUACAUUGACAAAAAUGUAAUUGCAAUCAUAAUUUAAAUAUAGUUGGUACUAAAAAUAAUUAUAAAUUGUCUUUAAUGGCAACUGUGUUUAAAUUAUGGGAAUUAGAACUAUUUUUUGUCAAUGUAACAAAUUGUAUUUUGUUAUUACUAACAUUAUAACAAUAAUAACUAUAAAAAUAAAGCGCCUAACCUAAUUAAUUUAGCACUCUAUUAUAGAUCAAAUACUUUUCUUUUAUUGCAAAAAAAAAUAUUCCCCUUUUAACGUGUUAUAAAUGCUUCAAACAAAUCUCUUAAGUUAAAUCGAUGUCAAGAAUCGAUCAACUUGAUUCUCUUACUUGAUUAAAAAUACCUUGAUAAUCUACCAGAGCAAAGGAUAAACGGAAUCGUGAUUUAUAAUUCGCAGAAAUAUUUGACAAUUUAUUCUGUGCGAAUUGUCGAGCGUUAGAAACAGAGAUUCUGACAAUUGCGACACGAUGAUCUUGCGGGAGAGACGUCGAAGGUUUUUGGUGACUGAUAUAACGGUACGUUACGAAUCGGUCCGAUGUUAGAAAGUCGGUUGCACCUUUUUCAGACCGCGACGCGACGACCGCGACAGCUCGGAUGACGACGGAGAUGAGAACGACGACGAGAGAGUUCGCGCUCACUUUCCCUCGCGACGCGAGAGGCAAACGCGUAUCGUCCCCGCCGAUCGCUAAAGGGUACCAUCACCGCAACGGCGAAUUCGCUUUCGCAGAUCCCGGUCGCGGACAGAUGCCGAGACGAUUUGCACGAAGCCGGCAUGGCGGCGCGGGUCGAGUGACGCGGGACCUUUCUCGCUGAUGGACGAUAAAUAAGCUAAGCGAGCAAGGCAAAAUGGCCUACGCUAACUCGAGCGAAUUUAAUCAUUCCGGACGAGCGGGAUCUAUCCACGAACCGCACUAAAGCGAUAAUCGAUUAGGCAGAGGUCGAGGGAAAUUGGUACGAGAGAGACUAACUGGUAAGAUGAAGAUAACGGAUGACGAAAUCAAGGACAUCAGCCCUGCUAUUACGUCAAAACUAUGGGGCAUUUUUACUUUGAAAUCUUUGAAUUAUAUGAGAAGAAAAAAAGAAUAUCAGCGUAAUUAAAUCUUGCGUUGAAAUGUUAUAUCAGAUACGAAACAAAUUCGAUACAAGCUUAUGUGGCUUUUCGCGAUAAUUAACUAAACGAUAGAUGUUAGAUAACUUUAGACAACAUUUAUUGCAAUAUUACAAACAAAUUGAUUCAUUUAGGUGGUUGUGGCAAAUAAAACUGACAAAAUUAUUAUUA
RNAcentral lists this long non-coding RNA (1770 nucleotides) under Monomorium pharaonis (pharaoh ant). RNAcentral describes it as "uncharacterized LOC118646637". The record is from RNAcentral. Lineage: Eukaryota; Metazoa; Arthropoda; Insecta; Hymenoptera; Formicidae.